RNAcentral lists this ribosomal RNA (253 nucleotides) under uncultured bacterium. Its description in RNAcentral is "partial 16S ribosomal RNA". It matches the Rfam family "Bacterial small subunit ribosomal RNA", at positions 524 to 776 of the family's 1533-position model. The record is from RNAcentral.
GACGAACCGUGCGAACGUUGUUCGGAAUCACUGGGCUUAAAGGGCGCGUAGGCGGGCUGACAAGUCUGGGGUGAAAUCCCACGGCUCAACCGUGGAACUGCCUUAGAUACUGUCGGCCUCGAGGAAGGUAGGGGCAUGCGGAACUAACGGUGGAGCGGUGAAAUGCGUAGAUAUCGCUUGGAACGCCAAAGGUGAAAACAGGUUGCUGGGGUUGUGCCGACGCUGAGACACGAAAGCCAGGGGAGCAAACGGG